CGCGUAGGCGGGCAUUCAAGUCCGUGGUGAAAUCCGGCAGCUUAACUGUCGAACUGCCGCGGAUACUGGGUGUCUCGAGGGAGGUAGGGCGCGCGGAACUAUUGGUGGAGCGGUGAAAUGCGUUGAUAUCAAUAGGAACUCCGGUGCGAAGGCGGCGCGCUGGACCUCUUCUGACGCUGAGGCGCGAAAGCCAGGGAGCAAACG
This 204-nucleotide ribosomal RNA is filed under the name uncultured bacterium. RNAcentral describes it as "partial 16S ribosomal RNA". It matches the Rfam family "Bacterial small subunit ribosomal RNA", at positions 568 to 774 of the family's 1533-position model. The record is from RNAcentral.